AUGGUCUACCACGAGAGGGAGGAGCAUGAGAGGACCUGUCCCGGCAAAGCCGGCGCCAUGCAGAAGCAGGGACGUGUCGUGAAGAUGGGCCCCUGCGGCGGCGGCGGCGUAGACGUCUGGGAGAUGGACGUGCGGGGCGUCGACCGUAUCGUGAAGGUCGUCCUCUGGCACUCCGGCGCGGUCGACGCCAUCUCAGUGCUAUACGAGCGGGACGGCCGGGAGGAGCAGACCAGGCACUGGGGAAAGCCCGAAGGACAGCGCUCAGAGGUUUGGUGGUGCGGCGAUGAAGCUCCCUUGGUUUAUGGUUGGCAUGUGCAGAUCUGCCUGGAGCCGGAUGAAUACCUCAUCGGCGUCAAAGGGAACCUUGGCAAUUUUGGUGGUUGCUUCCUCUUGGGAAGGCUUACUUUAAUCGGCAACCUGCGCACCUUUGGGCCAUAUGGAACGCGGGAAGGUCCGCCAUUCGAUCUUCCCGCAGCUGGCGGCAAGAUUGUUGGUUUCCAUGGCCGCUCCGGGGGCCUCCUCGACGCUCUGGGCACCUAUGUAAAGAUGGACGACUAG
This 558-nucleotide ribosomal RNA is filed under the name Triticum aestivum (bread wheat). RNAcentral's name for it is "partial small subunit ribosomal RNA". The record is from RNAcentral. Lineage: Eukaryota; Viridiplantae; Streptophyta; Magnoliopsida; Poales; Poaceae.